GGAGAAAAGCAGGGGAUCGCAAGACCUUGCGCUCAUUGAGCGGCCGAUGCCUGAUUAGCUAGUUGGUGAGGUAAAGGCUUACCAAGGCGACGAUCAGUAGCUGGUCUGAGAGGACGACCAGCCACACUGGGACUGAGACACGGCCCAGACUCCUACGGGAGGCAGCAGUGGGGAAUUUUGGACAAUGGGGGAAACCCUGAUCCAGCCAUGCCGCGUGAGUGAAGAAGGCCUUCGGGUUGUAAAGCUCUUUCAGCCGGAACGAAACGGUCACGGCUAAUACCUGUGACUACUGACGGUACCGGAAGAAGAAGCACCGGCUAACUACGUGCCAGCAGCCGCGGUAAUACGUAGGGUGCGAGCGUUAAUCGGAAUUACUGGGCGUAAAGCGUGCGCAGGCGGUUUUGUAAGUC
RNAcentral lists this ribosomal RNA (410 nucleotides) under uncultured beta proteobacterium. RNAcentral describes it as "bacterial SSU rRNA". It matches the Rfam family "Bacterial small subunit ribosomal RNA", at positions 198 to 589 of the family's 1533-position model. Lineage: Bacteria; Pseudomonadati; Pseudomonadota; Betaproteobacteria. The record is from RNAcentral.